GUCCUCUUAGCAUAGUUGGCAGUGUGUUUCCCUAGUAAGGAAAAGGUCGUGGGUUCGACUCCCGCAGAGGCCU
Transfer RNA from Entamoeba invadens IP1, 73 nucleotides. It matches the Rfam family "tRNA". From Rfam's summary of the family: Transfer RNA (tRNA) molecules are approximately 80 nucleotides in length. Their secondary structure includes four short double-helical elements and three loops (D, anti-codon, and T loops). Further hydrogen bonds mediate the characteristic L-shaped molecular structure. tRNAs have two regions of fundamental functional importance: the anti-codon, which is responsible for specific mRNA codon recognition, and the 3' end, to which the tRNAs corresponding amino acid is attached (by aminoacyl-tRNA synthetases). tRNAs cope with the degeneracy of the genetic code in two manners: having more than one tRNA (with a specific anti-codon) for a particular amino acid; and 'wobble' base-pairing, i.e. permitting non-standard base-pairing at the 3rd anti-codon position. NCBI's taxonomy places the organism in Eukaryota, Evosea, Mastigamoebida, Endamoebidae. The record is from Rfam.